Molecule: transfer RNA, 73 nt
Filed under: Dictyocaulus viviparus (bovine lungworm)
Lineage: Eukaryota; Metazoa; Nematoda; Chromadorea; Rhabditida; Metastrongylidae
Rfam family: tRNA
About the family: Transfer RNA (tRNA) molecules are approximately 80 nucleotides in length. Their secondary structure includes four short double-helical elements and three loops (D, anti-codon, and T loops).
Source: Rfam by way of RNAcentral
GCCUCGGUAGUGUAAUGGAUCAGCACGACAGACCGGAUAUCUGUAAGUGCGAGUUCGAGUCUCGACUGAGGUU